Oncorhynchus tshawytscha (Chinook salmon) is the source of this 536-nucleotide long non-coding RNA. The record is from Ensembl. Lineage: Eukaryota; Metazoa; Chordata; Actinopteri; Salmoniformes; Salmonidae.
AGAGAUAACGAUGUGGUGGGAGGAAUAUAUGCGAAGAGGUGGGGAGAUAGAAGAGAGAGAUGGGUGAGGGAAAAGAGGGGGUGGGGGAGAGGAGGGUAAAGAAAUGCUAAAGAAAACAGUGAAAGAGCAGAACAGACAAAGAGAGAGGAGAGUAGAGUAAUGGGUUGGUAGAGAGAGGAGAGUGGAGGAAUGGGUUGGUAGAGAGAGGUAGUGGAGGAAUGGGUUGGUAGAGAGAGGAGAGUAGAGGAAUGGGUUGGUAGAGAGAGGAGAGUAGAGGAAUGGGUUGGUAGAGAGAGGAGAGUAGAGGAAUGGGUUGGUAGAGAGAGGAGAGUAGAGGAAUGGGUUAGUAGAGAGAGGAGAGUAGAGGAAUGGGUUAGUAGAGAGAGGAGAGUAGAGGAAUGGGUUAGUAGAGAGAGGUAGUGGAGGAAUGGGUUAGUAGAGAGAGGUAGUGGAGGAAUGGGUUAGUAGAGAGAGGAGAGUAGAGGAAUGGGUUGGUAGAGAGAGGAGAGUAGAGGAAUGGGUUGGUAGAGAGAGGA